RNAcentral lists this ribosomal RNA (497 nucleotides) under uncultured bacterium. Its description in RNAcentral is "partial 16S ribosomal RNA". It matches the Rfam family "Bacterial small subunit ribosomal RNA", at positions 28 to 507 of the family's 1533-position model. The record is from RNAcentral.
GAUGAACGCUGGCGGCGUGCCUAAUACAUGCAAGUCGAGCGAACGGACGAGAAGCUUGCUUCUCUGAUGUUAGCGGCGGACGGGUGAGUAACACGUGGAUAACCUACCUAUAAGACUGGGAUAACUUCGGGAAACCGGAGCUAAUACCGGAUAAUAUUUUGAACCGCAUGGUUCAAAAGUGAAAGACGGUCUUGCUGUCACUUAUAGAUGGAUCCGCGCUGCAUUAGCUAGUUGGUAAGGUAACGGCUUACCAAGGCAACGAUGCAUAGCCGACCUGAGAGGGGGAUCGGCCACACUGGAACUGAGAAACGGUCCAGACUCCUACGGGAGGAAGCAGAAGGGAAUCUUACGCAAUGGGCGAAAGCCUGACGGAGCAAGGCCGCGUGAGGGAUGAAGGUCUACGGAUCGUAAAACUCUGUUAUUAGGGAAGAACAUAUGUGUAAGUAACUGUGCACAUAGUGACGGUAACUAAUCAGAAAGACACGGCUAACUACGUG